Molecule: long non-coding RNA, 1769 nt
Organism: Daphnia pulex (common water flea)
Lineage: Eukaryota; Metazoa; Arthropoda; Branchiopoda; Diplostraca; Daphniidae
Exons: 4
Source: RefSeq, a predicted model, not a curated record
UUCACUUUCGAAGGUCACGUAGAUCAUUACAUAAAAGUGCCAUAAAUUGUGUAGAGGUUGGGUGAGAAAGGAACGUGUUUCAUCAUUUUCAAGCAGGUACAAUAGCCGCAAGGAUUAAGAGGUGAAUCAGGAUGAGAAAAAAUCGUAUAAAAGGAGAGAGAAAAGGCGACAGAAAUCAGUCGAGUGAUGAUCUCCGACACCGCAACAACUGCUGCAGCGCACUAUUUGUCACAAAUUGCCUUCUUCAUCGUGUUACCUGUUCGUAAUCAUGGUUAACUAAGGCGUCGUGCUGCUGUUGGGUGUUGUACUGUUGUUGGGUGUUGUAAUGUUGAUGGCUGGUUACUGUUCCCCUAGAUAUAUGGUAUAAAGCAACAACGAAGAAAUCAGUCGAGUGAUCAUCUCCGACACGUCAACAGCAACUGCAGUGUACUAUUUGUCAACAACUGCCUUCUUCGUAGUACCACCAAUUCGCAAUCAUGGGAAAGUUAACUAUGGCGCCGUGCUGCUGUUUGCUGUUGUAUCGUUAGUUUAUGGGUCGACCACGAGUGUACCGAUGUUUCCUGCACAUGGGUGGAUGCUACAGCAGAGAAAGAAUACUACACCACGCCGCCGCCUUACUACACAACAGAGUCAACAUACGCAACAUCUACUUACUACACCGAAGUCCCCAAGUACUACACGACUACGAAUGCUGCCCCAUCCUACUACACCGAGGCUCCAGCAUAUUUCAAUACUAAAGCGGUCAAGUACUACACCGAACCGCACAAGUACUACUCUGCCCCGAACUGCACAACCACAACUGGAGUGACCAAGUACCACGUAGCCCAGAUAUAACACAGCAGCUGCUCCUUCGUACUACGUUGAACUGAAAUACUACACCGAGACACCAGUUUGCUACACCUCAACCUACGCUACACCUAGAUGCUAUGACGAAGUUCCCAACUACUACACCGAAGAGGCCACAUAUUACACAACCACGUACGUGUGCCCCAGUUUACUACACUGAGGAACCCAAGUAUUACUCUGCUCCAAGCUACUACAAAACUGAGGCUUCUGUUUACUACACCAAGCCACCGAGUAUUACAACCAAAUGUUAACUAUGGCGUCGUCCUGCUGUUGGUUGUUGUAUCCUUGGUGGUUGGGUCAGCCACUAGUGUAUCGAUGUCUCGUGGGUAUGGUGGAUACCAAACCACAACGCAGCCGGCUUACUGCAUGACAAAAACAUACGCAACAACCGGAGUACUACACCACGAAGGCAGCGGAGUACUACACCACGAAGGCAGCGGAGUACUUACACCACCACGUAUCCUGCCCCAGCCUUUUACACUGUUCCGCAGAGGUCGCAUAUUACGCUACAACCCACGCUGCCAUCAGCUGCUACAACGAGGCUUCCAAGUACUACAUAACCACUAAACCAAGGCACCCGAGUAUGACACUACAACCUACGUUGCUCUUAGCUACUACACUGAAACUUCAAAGUACUACUUUAGCAAGGCAUCUGAGUAUUAUACCACUACUUACGCUGAUUCCACCUACUACACCGAAGUUCCGAAGUUUUCCACUGCCCCGACUUACUACACCACUAAGGCACCUGGAUAUUACAUCACAACCUUCGCUUCUCCAGUUUACUAAAGGGAGGCUCCUAAAUACCAAAACUGAAAUUGCGUAUUGUGUAAUGGUGUUCAAAGUUGUCGGGCAUGUCAAAAGGGUUACUAAUCACUUGGAGUUUUUGUUGAUAUGAAAUGAGGAAAUACAUUUUUUAAUGGUAA